This 73-nucleotide transfer RNA is filed under the name Candidatus Competibacteraceae bacterium. Its description in RNAcentral is "tRNA-Gln". It matches the Rfam family "tRNA". Rfam says of the family: Transfer RNA (tRNA) molecules are approximately 80 nucleotides in length. Their secondary structure includes four short double-helical elements and three loops (D, anti-codon, and T loops). Lineage: Bacteria; Pseudomonadati; Pseudomonadota; Gammaproteobacteria; Candidatus Competibacteraceae. The record is from RNAcentral.
UGCCCUAUAGUGUAAUCAGGUAGCACAUCAGAUUUUGAUUCUGAGCGUCUAGGUUCAAAUCCUAGUGGGGCAG